GUUAGCGACAGAAGAAGCACCGGCUAACUCCGUGCCAGCAGCCGCGGUAAUACGGAGGGUGCGAGCGUUAAUCGGAAUUACUGGGCGUAAAGCGCAUGCAGGUGGUUUGUUAAGUCAGAUGUGAAAGCCCGGGGCUCAACCUCGGAAUAGCAUUUGAAACUGGCAGACUAGAGUACUGUAGAGGGGGGUAGGAAUUUCAGGUGUAGCGGUGAAAUGCGUAGAGAUCUGAAGGAAUACCGGUGGCGAAGGCGGCCCCCUCGGACAGAUACUGACACUCAGAUGCGAAAGCGUGGGGAGCAAACAGGAUUAGAUACCCUGGUAG
RNAcentral lists this ribosomal RNA (322 nucleotides) under uncultured bacterium. RNAcentral's name for it is "bacterial SSU rRNA". It matches the Rfam family "Bacterial small subunit ribosomal RNA", at positions 474 to 793 of the family's 1533-position model. The record is from RNAcentral.